Molecule: non-coding RNA, 1396 nt
Organism: Callorhinchus milii (elephant shark)
Lineage: Eukaryota; Metazoa; Chordata; Chondrichthyes; Chimaeriformes; Callorhinchidae
Source: the annotation of a RefSeq genome assembly
CCGUCUGACUGUCAGCCUCACCAGGACAACAUGAAGCUGCUGAAAUAUCUCUUCAUGUUGAGAUGCUGUUUAAGUCUUUCCAGGACAAUGUCAUCGACCUUAGAACCGACUGACAAAUUUAAAAUCAUGGUUAAAGGCGAGCGUGCUGAACUCUCCUGUAAACUAAAGGGAGAAGAUUUACAACAACUGGAGGUGUUUUGGUUGAGAAUGCGUGAAGACGGCAACCCGCAGUUUGUGAUCUCCGGCACUGUCCUGGAUAAGCUCACCCGAGCGGAGUUCAUAGAUGAACGCUUCACCAUCAGCAGAAGCAACUUUCAAAGCUCCUUCAGUUUGACCAUAAACAACUUGCACCUCAAUGACAGCGGCACCUAUCACUGCCUACUGCCUAAGAAAUACCUCUGGGGAAGUGCAAUCCAGCUCAAAGUGGUUACAGAGAAACAGAAAGUGACUUCACCGCCUUCUACAACUACUCGGCGUAAAUCGAUACCUCGUAAACCCAAGACUCGCAAGGAAAACAAUGAGCUCAAAUGUGGCUGGAUAGUCUGGAGUCCAUUCAUCGCAGUCAUUGCGUUGUUGCUCAUUUCCAUCGCUACUGUUGUCAUCCAUCAUAGAAAUCGUCGAAGGCGAUGCCGUCACCAUUUUCGGAAGAGGUAUGCUUAACACAUCCACGGGCUUUGAAGAAAUGCAAAGAGAGAGAGACAGAGAGAGGAAUGUUAUUUGGAAACUUUUAUUCUUUAACAAAGUUGCAUCAGAACAUUAUACCACCUUCAUGAACAAACCAGCAACUUGUUAAUCAGCCCUUACAAGUUUAUUUCUGUCAAUGCUAAAAUCUUGCAGUGUAAUUCCAAGUGAUCAUCUUCGAACAUUUUGAGCCGUGGCUUAGAGAGGAAUUUCAGCGUUUGUAGAUAAUCUUCAGGUAAAUGCACCAUUGGUGGCAGUCAAAACACAUGUCCUCCGUAAAAGCUUUUUCAUUUAGUCAAUAACAAUGAUGUGGCUUAUUCCACUUGCUGCUUGCACCAUACUGUUUAUGUGUACAGAGUGUUUACAAAGUCCUGUUAUCCCCAUAUUUUUCUCUACAGUCCACUGACCAACAACUGAAACAUGUGGAAGAAUGGUGAUAAUUGUAUUUAGAAGCACUUGAUUGUAUUCAGUACAAGUGUUUAGCUGUAUUUAGAUGGCCAGAGGAUUGGUCUGAGUGAGCGCAAUCAUUUUCAUGGCAGAUAAUGUUCAUUGCAACAUCUUCCAUAACAAAACUAAAGGGAUUAAGGGAUAUGGGGAUAGGGUGGCUAAAUGGAAUUAGGUUAGUAGAUCACCCAUGAUCCUAUUAAAUGGCAGUGCAGGCUUGAGGGCCGAAUGGCCUACUCCUGCUCCUAUUUCUUAUGUUCUUAUGUAAUAU